GCUUUAGUAGUUUAGUGGUUAGAAUUUUAAAUUAUAAUUCUAAAGGUUUUAGGUUCGAAUUCCAGUUAAAGUA
RNAcentral lists this transfer RNA (73 nucleotides) under Opeltia flavorubescens. RNAcentral describes it as "tRNA-Tyr (ATA) (tRNA-Tyr-ATA-9-1)". It matches the Rfam family "tRNA". From Rfam's summary of the family: Transfer RNA (tRNA) molecules are approximately 80 nucleotides in length. Their secondary structure includes four short double-helical elements and three loops (D, anti-codon, and T loops). Lineage: Eukaryota; Fungi; Ascomycota; Lecanoromycetes; Teloschistales; Teloschistaceae. The record is from RNAcentral.